UGGGGAAUAUUGGACAAUGGGGGCAACCCUGAUCCAGCAAUGCCGCGUGUGUGAAGAAGGUCUUCGGAUUGUAAAGCACUUUCGACGGGGACGAUGAUGACGGUACCCGUAGAAGAAGCCCCGGCUAACUUCGUGCCAGCAGCCGCGGUAAUACGAAGGGGGCUAGCGUUGCUCGGAAUGACUGGGCGUAAAGGGCGUGUAGGCGGUUUACACAGUCAGAUGUGAAAUCCCCGGGCUUAACCUGGGAGCUGCAUUUGAUACGUGUAGACUAGAGUGUGAGAGAGGGUUUGUGGAAUUCCCAGUGUAGAGGUGAAAUUCGUAGAUAUUGGGAAGAACACCGGUGGCGAAGGCGGCAACCUGGCUCAUGACUGACGCUGAGGCGCGAAAGCGUGGGGAGCAAACAGGAUUAGGAUACCCUGGUAGUCCACGCCUGUAAACGAUGUGUGCUAGAUGUUGGGUAACUUUGUUAUU
This 471-nucleotide ribosomal RNA is filed under the name uncultured bacterium. RNAcentral describes it as "partial 16S ribosomal RNA". It matches the Rfam family "Bacterial small subunit ribosomal RNA", at positions 355 to 840 of the family's 1533-position model. The record is from RNAcentral.